RNAcentral lists this ribosomal RNA (337 nucleotides) under uncultured bacterium. RNAcentral describes it as "bacterial SSU rRNA". It matches the Rfam family "Bacterial small subunit ribosomal RNA", at positions 975 to 1314 of the family's 1533-position model. The record is from RNAcentral.
CUACACUUGACAUCCCUUGCAUUACUCUUAAUCGAGGAAAUCCCUUCGGGGACAAGGUGACAGGUGGUGCAUGGUUGUCGUCAGCUCGUGUCGUGAGAUGUUGGGUUAAGUCCCGCAACGAGCGCAACCCUUGUCGUUAGUUACUACCAUUAAGUUGAGGACUCUAGCGAGACUGCCUGGGUUAACCAGGAGGAAGGUGGGGAUGACGUCAAAUCAUCAUGCCCCUUAUGUGUAGGGCUACACACGUGCUACAAUGGCUGGUACAGAGAGAUGCAAUACCGCGAGGUGGAGCCAAACUUAAAAACCAGUCUCAGUUCGGAUUGUAGGCUGAAACUCG